RNAcentral lists this ribosomal RNA (686 nucleotides) under uncultured Bacteroidales bacterium. Its description in RNAcentral is "bacterial SSU rRNA". It matches the Rfam family "Bacterial small subunit ribosomal RNA", at positions 82 to 767 of the family's 1533-position model. The record is from RNAcentral. Lineage: Bacteria; Pseudomonadati; Bacteroidota; Bacteroidia; Bacteroidales.
ACUUUGGUGGCGACCGGCGCACGGGUGCGUAACGCGUAUGCAACCUACCUUUAACAGGGGCAUAACACUGAGAAAUUGGUACUAAUUCCCCAUAACAUUCGAGAAGGCAUCUUCUUGGGUUAAAAACUCCGGUGGUUAAAGAUGGGCAUGCGUUGUAUUAGCUAGUUGGUGAGGUAACGGCUCACCAAGGCAACGAUACAUAGGGGGACUGAGAGGUUAACCCCCCACAUUGGUACUGAGACACGGACCAAACUCCUACGGGAGGCAGCAGUGAGGAAUAUUGGUCAAUGGACGCAAGUCUGAACCAGCCAUGCCGCGUGCAGGAAGACGGCUCUAUGAGUUGUAAACUGCUUUUGUACUAGGGUAAACGCUCUUACGUGUAGGAGCCUGAAAGUAUAGUACGAAUAAGGAUCGGCUAACUCCGUGCCAGCAGCCGCGGUAAUACGGAGGAUCCAAGCGUUAUCCGGAUUUAUUGGGUUUAAAGGGUGCGUAGGCGGUUUGAUAAGUUAGAGGUGAAAUACCGGGGCUCAACUCCGGAACUGCCUCUAAUACUGUUGAACUAGAGAGUAGUUGCGGUAGGCGGAAUGUAUGGUGUAGCGGUGAAAUGCUUAGAGAUCAUACAGAACACCGAUUGCGAAGGCAGCUUACCAAACUAUAUCUGACGUUGAGGCACGAAAGCGUGGGGA